CUACGGGUGGCUGCAGUGAGGAAUAUUGCACAAUGGGGGGAACCCUGAUGCAGCAACGCCGCGUGGAGGAUGACGCAUUUCGGUGUGUAAACUCCUUUUAUAUGUCAAGAAAAUGGCGGUAGCAUAUGAAUAAGCACCGGCUAACUCCGUGCCAGCAGCCGCGGUAAUACGGAGGGUGCAAGCGUUACUCGGAAUCACUGGGCGUAAAGGACGCGUAGGCGGGUUGGAAAGUCAGGUGUGAAAUCCUACAGCUUAACUGUAGAACUGCACUUGAAACUUCUAAUCUAGAGUGUGGGAGGGGGAGAUGGAAUUAGUGGUGUAGGGGUAAAAUCCGUAGAUAUCACUAGGAAUACCUAAAGCGAAGGCGAUCUCCUGGAACAUUACUGACGCUAAGGCGUGAAAGCGUGGGGAGCAAACGGGAUUAGAUACCCCGGUAGUC
This 439-nucleotide ribosomal RNA is filed under the name uncultured bacterium. RNAcentral's name for it is "partial 16S ribosomal RNA". It matches the Rfam family "Bacterial small subunit ribosomal RNA", at positions 339 to 795 of the family's 1533-position model. The record is from RNAcentral.